UAUAAUAAAAAGAAAUAUUUGACGGUAGUUUUGAAUGAUGGCAGGCCGGUGGAGGAAAGAAAUUGACAAGGCCCAAGUCUGUUGUGGAUCUCGUCACUAACUGGGCCCACAGGACAUGAAUUGACAAAGCCCAUCACAAACAACAAAUAAUACGCACCUCCUAUCGUGGAUACCACGCGUUCACAGUCCCACGGAGAGAUAAUCAACCGUGAAAGAAAUAUCUAAUCCCACAGCUGUCGGACGAACAUCGCCACCUAAAUUCACGCGUUCCUCAUAUCACGCCUGCCAAAAACAACAAAUCGUAACGAAAUUAAUUUUAACGGAAGAUGGGUAUUAGAUAAUAUAAGGUACAGUAGAAGUAGGGCGGUAUGGUUAGUUCAUACCCAAAAAUGAGAUAAGAAAUGUAUGAACAGAUAAAGAUUCAAUAAAUGAUGAUAAAAAUCCUCAAAGAAAAGGGCUUACCUUGGUGUUGAAGGAGGAAGAAACGAGGGAGGGGGCAAGCAAAGACAAGAAAAUCUAAUGAUUUGAGAGGAAAAUGCUAAAAACUCUCCGGAGAGAUGCUUUAAUAUGUAGGGGUGGGGGAAGUGGUGGGAUAGUGGGGGCCGAUAUAUAAGGGAUAUGGGAACUGGGGAGGGACCAACUUUCCAAACUAAUCUCAAUUUGUUCACAUGCUCGUGCCCCUUCUUUAAAGUCAAUACUAUAUUUUACUCCUUCUCUUAUUAAAUAAUCAUUUUUUUUCCUC
Molecule: long non-coding RNA, 742 nt
Filed under: Nicotiana tabacum (common tobacco)
Lineage: Eukaryota; Viridiplantae; Streptophyta; Magnoliopsida; Solanales; Solanaceae
Description: long non-coding RNA (NTAB_LNC011542)
Source: RNAcentral